UUUGAUUAUUCGCCGUAGACAGUAGGUGCGUAAAGCUUAAUUUCCUACCGAGGUUACAUAAUUAGAUUAAAAUGAUCUAAUUAUAAAAAAGUUCUCUUUACCUCUUUUUGUCUAUGCAAAAAGAGGUUUAUUUUUUC
Molecule: small RNA, 137 nt
Filed under: human gut metagenome
Description: Ribosomal protein L10 leader
Rfam family: Ribosomal protein L10 leader
About the family: This family is a putative r-protein leader autoregulatory structure found in B. subtilis and other low-GC Gram-positive bacteria. It is located in the 5' untranslated regions of mRNAs encoding ribosomal proteins L10 and L12 (rplJ-rplL).
Source: RNAcentral